GUAGGGAAUAUUGCACAAUGGGCGAAAGCCUGAUGCAGCAACGCCGCGUGCGCGAUGAAGGCCUUCGGGUCGUAAAGCGCUUUUCGGGGGGAUGAGAAAGGACAGUACCCCCGGAAUAAGUCACGGCUAACUACGUGCCAGCAGCCGCGGUAAGACGUAGGUGGCGAGCGUUAUCCGGAUUUACUGGGCGUAAAGCGCGUGCAGGCGGUUCGGUAAGUCGGGCGUGAAAUCUCCUGGCUCAACUGGGAGGGGCCGUCCGAAACUACCGGACUUGAGGGCAGUAGAGGGAGGUGGAAUUCCGGGUGUAGUGGUGAAAUGCGUAGAUAUCCGGAGGAACACCGGUGGCGAAAGCGGCCUCCUGGGCUGCCCCUGACGCUCAGACGCGAAAGCUAGGGGAGCGAACGGGAUUAGAAACCCGGGUAGUCC
This 426-nucleotide ribosomal RNA is filed under the name uncultured bacterium. Its description in RNAcentral is "bacterial SSU rRNA". It matches the Rfam family "Bacterial small subunit ribosomal RNA", at positions 354 to 796 of the family's 1533-position model. The record is from RNAcentral.